GAUGAAGAACGUAGCGAAAUGCGAUACGUAAUGUGAAUUGCAGAAUUCAGUGAAUCAUCGAAUCUUUGAACGCAUAUUGCGCUCUCUGGUAUUCCGGAGAGCAUGCUUGUUUGAGUAUCAGUAAACACCUCAACUUCCAUAUCUUUUUUGAAAUGGGAGUUGGACUUGAGUGAUCCCGACGCUUUUCCUCACCGAAAAGUGGCGGGUUACUUGAAAUGCAGGUGCAGCUGGACUUUUCUCUGAGCUAUAAGCAUAUCUAUUUAGUCUGCCUAAAAAACAGAUUAUUACCUUUGCUGCAGCUAACAUAAAGGAGAUUAGUUCUUGUGCUGACUGAUGCAGGAUUCACAAAGACAGGCUUCGGCCGACUUUGUAAACUCGAUCUCAAAUCAAGUAAGACUACCCGCUGAACUUAAGCAUAUCAAUAAGCGGAGGA
This 433-nucleotide unclassified non-coding RNA is filed under the name soil metagenome. Its description in RNAcentral is "partial contains 5.8S ribosomal RNA, internal transcribed spacer 2, and large subunit ribosomal RNA". The stretch from base 1 to 120 matches the Rfam family "5.8S ribosomal RNA", at positions 35 to 154 of the family's 154-position model. The record is from RNAcentral.